Molecule: long non-coding RNA, 623 nt
Organism: Poeciliopsis prolifica (blackstripe livebearer)
Lineage: Eukaryota; Metazoa; Chordata; Actinopteri; Cyprinodontiformes; Poeciliidae
Exons: 3
Source: RefSeq, a predicted model, not a curated record
AGGAACCCAGAACCAGAUACGAAGGCAAACGCCUGCAGUACACAUUGCUCAAAAGCAAGCAGACACAAAGCUCCAGAUGUAUUGGGCGGCAGGAAAUGAGGAGGAUAAGGACGAGAAAACGAAGAGAGAAGGAACAGAGUGGUCAGAAUAAUUAUAACGUGCGCCGGUGCUGAAAUGAGGACGUUGAGAGAGAGAAAGAAAGAAAGGAGAGAGAGAGGAAGAGAGAGGAAGAGAGAGGACCGACAGCUAGACUGGCAACUCCAGUUUCUUUCACUGUCUGCUGGUGUGUUGCUGGUCUUGGCUCCAGUGCCACCCAGUGUUCAAGCGUGUGAGAAAUUGACAUCAGAAGGGCCUGAGUGAGUGAUUCCAUGGUGAUGGAAAAAGUCUCACAACCUACGAUUCACUGUUUGGAUUAAGCACAGAUAUUCCAUGAAUAUAAUGGAAUAUGAAAUCCAUGAUCAUGAUUGCCAAUGGACGGCGACUGUGUAAUACAAUAAGGUAUAAACAGUGACCUUCGCAUAUAUUUUUACCCCUAUUGCAGAGCUGUAAAAAUGCUUCAGAAGAAUUGUUUCAUUUUAAUUUCAUUUGCUGCAGCCUAAUUUAACACAGAAAUAUUUGCAACA